This 497-nucleotide ribosomal RNA is filed under the name uncultured bacterium. Its description in RNAcentral is "partial 16S ribosomal RNA". It matches the Rfam family "Bacterial small subunit ribosomal RNA", at positions 28 to 507 of the family's 1533-position model. The record is from RNAcentral.
GAUGAACGCUGGCGGCGUGCCUAAUACAUGCAAGUCGAGCGAACGGACGAGAAGCUUGCUUCUCUGAUGUUAGCGGCGGACGGGUGAGUAACACGUGGAUAACCUUCCUAUAAGACUGGGAUAACUUCGGGAAACCGGAGCUAAUACCGGCUAAUAUUUUGAACCGCAUGGUUCAAAAGUGAAAGACGGUUUUGCUGUCACUUCUAGAUGGAUCCGCGCUGCAUUAGCUAGUUGGUAAGGUAACGGCUUACCAAGGCAACGAGGCAUAGCCGACCUGAGAGGGUGAUCGGCCACACUGGAACUGAGACACGGUCCAGACUCCUACGGGAGGCAGCAGUAGGGAAUCUUCCGCGAUGGGCGAAAGCCUGACGGAGCAACGCCGCGUGAGUGAUGAAGGUCUUCGGAUCGUAAAACUCUGUUAUUAGGGAAGAACAUAUGUGUAAGUAACUGUGCACAUCUUGACGGUACCUAAUCAGAAAGCCGCGGCUAACUACGUG